AACACAUGCAAGUCGAACGGCAGCACGGGGGCAACCCUGGUGGCGAGUGGCGAACGGGUGAGUAAUAUAUCGGAACGUGCCCUGGAGUGGGGGAUAACCACUCGAAAGACUGGCUAAUACCGCAUACGAUCUACGGAUGAAAGUGGGGGAUCGAAAGACCUCAUGCGUGGAGCGGCCGAUUCUGAUUAGUAGUUGGUGGGGUAAAGGCCUACCAAGGCGACGAUCAGUACCUGGUCUGAGAGGACGACCAGCCACACUGGGACUGAGACACGGCCCACACUCCUACGGGAGGCAGCAGUGGGGAAUUUUGGACAAUGGGGGCAACCCUGAUCCAGCAAUGCCGCGUGUGUGAAGAAGGCUUCGGGUUGUUAAACACUUU
RNAcentral lists this ribosomal RNA (379 nucleotides) under uncultured bacterium. Its description in RNAcentral is "bacterial SSU rRNA". It matches the Rfam family "Bacterial small subunit ribosomal RNA", at positions 50 to 436 of the family's 1533-position model. The record is from RNAcentral.